This 1170-nucleotide ribosomal RNA is filed under the name uncultured bacterium. RNAcentral describes it as "bacterial SSU rRNA". It matches the Rfam family "Bacterial small subunit ribosomal RNA", at positions 197 to 1353 of the family's 1533-position model. The record is from RNAcentral.
AGUUUGAAAGAUGGUUCUGCUAUCACUCUUGGAUGGACAUGCGGUGCAUUAGCUAGUUGGUAAGGUAUCGGAUUACCAAGGCAAUGAUGCAUAGCCGAGUUGAGAGACUGAUCGGCCACAUUGGGACUGAGACACGGCCCAAACUCGUACGGGAGGCAGCAGUAGGGAUAUCUUCCACAAUGGACGAAAGUGUGUUGGAGCAACGCCGCGUGAGCGAAGAAGGGUUUCGGCUCGUAAAGCUCUGUUGGUAGUGAAGAAAGAUAGUGGUAGUACCUGGCCUUUAUUUGACGGUAAUUACUCAGAAAGUCCCGGCUAACUACGUGCCAGCAGCCGCGGUAAUACGUAGGUGGCAAGCGUUGUCCGGAUUUAUUGGGUGUAAAGCGAGUGCAGGCGGUUCAAUAAGUCUGAUGUGAAAGCCUUGGGCUCAACCGGAGAAUUGCUUCAGAAACUGUCGAACUUGAGUGCAGAAGAGGAGAGUGGAAUUCCUUGUGUAGCGGUGGAAUGCGUAGAUAUAUGGAAGAACACCAGUGGCGAAGGCGGCUUUCUGGUCUGCAACUGACGUUGAGGCUCGAAAGCAUGGGUAGCGAACAGGAUUAGAUACCCUGGUAGUCCAUGCCGUAAACGAUGACUGCUAAGUGUUGGGAGGUUUCCGCCUCUCAGUGCAGCAGAUCAAGGACAAUAAGCACUCCAUAUGGGGAGUACGGGGGGAAGGGAGGUAGUCAAAGGAAGGUUCGGGGUCAGGCACAAUCGGUGGUACAUGUGGUUGAAAGAGAUGAUAAGAGAGGAACAUUUCCUGGGUUCAAAGGAGGGAUGGAAUCAUGGUUAAGGACGCAGUCCUAUAGUACAUCCGUCGAGGUGCUGCAGGAGUGUGGUCAGUGUGUCAGUCGAAGUGUGGCCGUAAGCCCUAUCAGGAGGGCAACCCAUGGUGGCAGUGGUGGACGGGUAGAGGGGCGGACUGUGUAUGGAACGCGGGCGCAUCCUGCGCCGAAGGAGGGGACAAAGGCAAAUCAGCAGGUCCUCUAUGUUAGGGGGGACACACGCGUAACAAUGGGGGGUAUAGCGGGAAGCCAGGCGGGGAGGCCGGGCGGAACUCGACAGCCUGUCUCAAAUAGGAUUGGAGUCGGCACACCGAAUCGGUAAAGCCGGAUCCGUUAGUAAUCGAGCAUCAGC